UGAAGUUCUUUAAAAAUUAUUCACAUAUUUUGGUGGCAAAUGUUUAGUGCUUCAUUCACAUGCAGGAUUUUUGUUUCCAACCAGGCACUGUGGAAGCAGGCAGCAUCCCAGACCUGUGGAGGAGCUCAGCAGGAGAACAAGUGGGGGAAAAUAUUCCCAAUGUCACGCUGCUGCUGGUGGCUCAGGCACAGGAACAGGGGCCUGUGGUGGUCCAGCUCGUUGGAAAGUUUUGUGCAGAAACCAGGAGGAUCUAACAGCUGGAGCUAAUCCGGAAACAGCACCACCAGCAACAACAGUUUGCUCUGGACCAGAAAAAAAGUGGAAGAGGUGGGGCUAAGAGGGAUUUUCUCCUUCAAAAGAAGAAAUGUUGCUUUCCAGGCACCUGUAUGCUGAAAUGGAUUGAAAUGCAGGUGAGGUGGAUUCCUUCCUCUGCAGGGUGCUGGAAAGAGCAGAGUUUGUUUAGGUCUUGGGGUGAUUUGGGCUGGUGCCCUGCAUUGCUCUGGGGGCAUCCCUUUCUCAGAGAGCAUCCCAUUCCC
RNAcentral lists this long non-coding RNA (536 nucleotides) under Lonchura striata (white-rumped munia). RNAcentral's name for it is "domestica (Bengalese finch) lncRNA (ENSLSDG00000018214.1)". Lineage: Eukaryota; Metazoa; Chordata; Aves; Passeriformes; Estrildidae. The record is from RNAcentral.